Molecule: ribosomal RNA, 277 nt
Filed under: uncultured bacterium
Lineage: Bacteria
Description: partial 16S ribosomal RNA
Rfam family: Bacterial small subunit ribosomal RNA
Source: RNAcentral
GAUGUCCUACGGGGGGCAGCAGUGAGGAAUAUUGGUCAAUGGCCGAGAGGCUGAACCAGCCAAGUCGCGUGAGGGAAGACGGCCCUACGGGUUGUAAACCUCUUUUGUCGGGGAGCAAAGCGAACCACGUGUGGUUCAUUGAGAGUACCCGAAGAAAAAGCAUCGGCUAACUCCGUGCCAGCAGCCGCGGUAAUACGGAGGAUGCGAGCGUUAUCCGGAUUUAUUGGGUUUAAAGGGUGCGUAGGCGGAAUGCCAAGUCAGCGGUAAAAUCGCGGGG